GGCCCAUUCGUCAAGUUGGUUAAGACGCAGUUUUUUCGAUACUGUUUCGUGAGUUCGAUCCUCACAUGGGCUA
RNAcentral lists this transfer RNA (73 nucleotides) under Arthothelium ruanum. RNAcentral's name for it is "tRNA-Glu". It matches the Rfam family "tRNA". From Rfam's summary of the family: Transfer RNA (tRNA) molecules are approximately 80 nucleotides in length. Their secondary structure includes four short double-helical elements and three loops (D, anti-codon, and T loops). Lineage: Eukaryota; Fungi; Ascomycota; Arthoniomycetes; Arthoniales; Arthoniaceae. The record is from RNAcentral.